AUCAUUUAUGGCUAUAUAUAAGGUUUGCAGACGUCGACACCUCUACAACCCAGAAACUUGUUAUACAACACUACACAAUGAAGGGCUUGGUAAUAGUAUGUAUUCUAUUCAUUGUUGCCGCAUUGGAAGCAAAGGAUACCUGUCUCGUCGACGCUGACUGCACAUGCGCAGAUUGGUUAAUUCCCCACUGUCACCUUGGAAAAUGUCAUUGUCACCAUAGCACCCACGAGUGCAACCAUUCCUUUGACUGCACGUGUGAAGCCGACCACCAUGCCACGUGUGACCAUCAUCUCUGUCAUUGUCAUCCAAACUCACCCUGAAGCGCAUGAUCUUCCGCACGCCACUGGUAUUAGAAGCACCUGUUUUCUUUUCUAAUGUUUUGAUAAUUGUAGAGCGACAUAUGUGUAAUAUAUAAUAAAUUUAUAUCACAAUCAAA
Molecule: long non-coding RNA, 436 nt
Organism: Ostrea edulis (European flat oyster)
Lineage: Eukaryota; Metazoa; Mollusca; Bivalvia; Ostreida; Ostreidae
Exons: 3
Source: RefSeq, a predicted model, not a curated record